AAUAGUUGGAAGCAAAACAAGCACGUGGGACAGAGAAAGGCUGAGAGAGAUUUCACUUGGAGCCAAGUGCCAAGGGUUCACCUUAUUCAGUCUUGCACUUGGCAGUGAUGUGAGUGACAAUCAGCUGAUGGAGCUGUCAAGCUCCCCCACCGAUCAGCACUCACUGACACUGGGCAGGUUUUCCAGCCCGGAGAUGGCGUAUGCUCAGAGGUUUAGCCGGGCAUUCCUAAAUCUUCUACAACAAGAAAUGAACAGUUAUCCUUCACCUGAACUUCAAGAAGAGUGUGAAAACUUAGAUCGGGGAGACAUACAACAGGAAGCAUCCCUGACUGAAAGGAUAUCUUUUCCUGGAAUGGCUGAAAGUGGUUCCAGUCAAGUUUUAGAAGACAUGGAAAAAAAUGGAAGUCGAGUCAUGAAGAGUAUAAAAGAGAACACCAAAGAACCUGUAUACACAGUGCCAGAAAUGAGAGAUGAUUUUGAGAAGAAUGAGUAUUUCACAGAGGAAAAUGCUAAAAGGGAAAAGCCUCAAGAGUGUGGAAAAGCUCAGGAGAAGAACAACAAAAACUUAGAGACAACAGCAGAAACUAGAAG
This 591-nucleotide long non-coding RNA is filed under the name Serinus canaria (Common canary). RNAcentral describes it as "lncRNA (ENSSCAG00000001416.1)". The record is from RNAcentral. Lineage: Eukaryota; Metazoa; Chordata; Aves; Passeriformes; Fringillidae.